AAUAUACAUAAUAAUCUGUUAGUUGAAAUAGGUCUAAAUUUAUGCUCUGUGACAAUAGGUUUAGGAGACUAUUAAGUUAAGUUGGGUUGAACCUAAUAAGUUGAGUAGAGCUACAGACCCAACAAUACACACAACAUUCAGAUGAUUGAGUCAGAUUGAAACACAUGAGCAUUGUGACUGAGCUCUUAAAUGCGAUAGAUACGUACGUUCUUUCUAUGAGUAUGCAUUUUUGGAAUAGUUGGUUAAUAUUUACGAUUUACACAAUCUAUCUUU
Molecule: long non-coding RNA, 273 nt
Filed under: Ananas comosus (pineapple)
Lineage: Eukaryota; Viridiplantae; Streptophyta; Magnoliopsida; Poales; Bromeliaceae
Description: long non-coding RNA (ACOM_LNC015943)
Source: RNAcentral